This 319-nucleotide long non-coding RNA is filed under the name Homo sapiens (human). RNAcentral describes it as "HSALNT0231360". The record is from RNAcentral. Lineage: Eukaryota; Metazoa; Chordata; Mammalia; Primates; Hominidae.
UUUGGAUCAGCAACUCUCAGGCCACAGCCACUGGGUUAAUGACGACUGUAUACCUGCCACCUGAAGGAGUCUAAGAGAAGAUCAGCACUGGGACAGAAGCCGAAAUGAAAAAAGAAGCUCUGUGGAGAGGUCCACGUGGUAAUGAUCAGAAACCUCCUUCCCACAACUGUGUGAGUGAGCCAUCUUGGAAGUGGAUGUCCCAGUCUCAGUCAAGCCUCCAGAUGACUGUAACCCUGUGUGACAUCAUGACUGCCACCUCAUGAGAAAGCCCAAGCCAGAACCACCCAGCUAAGCUGCUCCUGAAUUUCUGAGGCACAGG